GAUGAACGCUAGCGGCAGGCCUAAUACAUGCAAGUCGAACGAGAUUGAGGAGCUUGCUCCUCAUGAAAGUGGCGCACGGGUGCGUAACGCGUAUGCAAUCUACCUUAAUCAGGGGGAUAGCCCGGAGAAAUCCGGAUUAAUACCGCAUAACGUUAUUUUAUGGCAUCAUAGAAUAACCAAACAUUUAUGGGAUUAAGAUGAGCAUGCGUGACAUUAGUUAGUUGGUGAGGUAACGGCUCACCAAGACUACGAUGUCUAGGGGAUCUGAGAGGAUGACCCCCCACACCGGUACUGAGACACGGACCAGACUCCUACGGGAGGCAGCAGUAAGGAAUAUUGGUCAAUGGGCGCAAGCCUGAACCAGCCAUGCCGCGUGCAGGAAGACGGCCCUAUGGGUUGUAAACUGCUUUUAUCGGGAAUAAACCUCUUUACGUGUAAGGAGCUGAAUGUACCGAAGGAAUAAGGAUCGGCUAACUCCGUGCCAGCAGCCG
This 491-nucleotide ribosomal RNA is filed under the name uncultured bacterium. RNAcentral describes it as "bacterial SSU rRNA". It matches the Rfam family "Bacterial small subunit ribosomal RNA", at positions 28 to 517 of the family's 1533-position model. The record is from RNAcentral.